This 337-nucleotide ribosomal RNA is filed under the name uncultured Pseudomonadota bacterium. RNAcentral describes it as "bacterial SSU rRNA". It matches the Rfam family "Bacterial small subunit ribosomal RNA", at positions 29 to 351 of the family's 1533-position model. The record is from RNAcentral. Lineage: Bacteria; Pseudomonadati; Pseudomonadota.
AGCGAACGUUGGCGGCGCGCUUAACACAUGCAAGUCGUACGAGAAAAGGGGCAACCCUGAGUAGAGUGGCGCACGGGUGCGUAACACGUAGGCAAUCUUCCCUCGGGAGGGGGAUAACCAUCCGAAAGGAUGGCUAAUACCGCGUAAGACCACGGCUGCUCCGGCAGCUGCGGUCAAAGAGGGCCUCUCCAUGGAAGCUCUCACCUGAGGACGAGCCUGCGGCCCAUCAGCUAGUUGGGAGGGUAACGGCCUACCAAGGCUAAGACGGGUAGCUGGUCUGAGAGGAUGAUCAGCCACACUGGCACUGAAACACGGGCCAGACUCCUACGGGAGGCAG